Molecule: long non-coding RNA, 481 nt
Filed under: Laticauda laticaudata (blue-ringed sea krait)
Lineage: Eukaryota; Metazoa; Chordata; Lepidosauria; Squamata; Elapidae
Description: lncRNA (ENSLLTG00000013926.1)
Source: RNAcentral
CUUAAUAAUAACUCACUCACUUUCUCCUAUUUAGGAACUCUUUUUGACUCUUGUCAAAAAUGUUUUCUAUUUUACAUGGAUAAGCAGUGCUCAUUUAGUCAGCUAACUCUGUAGAUAUAUGUGCAUUUUCAUUGAUUAAUAGUUUCAUCAUAUUUUUGUUUUACCUAGAAAACUUGGAGAAAAUAGAGAAAGAUAGUGUAUGCCACUUUUUUAAAAAAAAUUCAGAAGUGGUUGACAGUCUCCAACCCCAAUCCAAAUGGUCAUCAACAUAUCUGACUCUUACUUGACUCUCAUCUUCCUCCUCUUGUCUAGCCACUACUUUUUCAUCUGCCAAAUUUAUCAUGAAUUUGGUAUAUCUGUGGGCUGUUGGUUUCUUUCCAGCAGCUCUGCUUCAAUUAUUCAAUUAUUUCUUCAAAAUGCUGAUCAUUGCAUGUGGCUGGAAGUAUUUCCAGGAGAGUAUUUCCUCCCAACAGCAGUGUAA